This 1711-nucleotide unclassified non-coding RNA is filed under the name uncultured fungus. RNAcentral describes it as "sequence contains 18S rRNA gene, ITS1, 5.8S rRNA gene, ITS2, 28S rRNA gene". The stretch from base 667 to 1711 matches the Rfam family "Eukaryotic large subunit ribosomal RNA", at positions 1 to 961 of the family's 3401-position model. Lineage: Eukaryota; Fungi. The record is from RNAcentral.
GGUUGGAUCAUUAAAAAGAUCAUGCCUGGGCCGAGCCUGUCAACUGUAAUGGUUGAUAGGAUCAAAUCGGGCUUAUCUCACCUAAAAAGUGGGUUAAACAUCAUGUGAACUGUUCUGUCUCUGGCGGUGGGAUGGCUAAACACCAUCUGUCAGCCACCGAGGUAUACUCGGUGUGCCGUGGACAAGCCGCCAAUGGUGUAUGUUUCAUACAAACUUUUUGUUUUCAUAUAAUUUGUCUGACCUAACCUUGUAUCAAAAAAAUACAAAAACAACUUUUGGCAACGGAUCUCUUGGCUCCCGCAACGAUGAAGAACGCAGCGAAAUGCGAUAUGUAGUGUGAAUUGCAGAAUUCAGUGAAUCAUCGAAUCUUUGAACGCACAUUGCGCUCUCUGGUAUUCCGGGGAGCAUGCUCGUUUCAGAAUCAUUAAUAAUCUCAAAGAAAUGGUCAUUGUUUUCGAACGAUGCCUUUUCUUUUGGAUGUGAGCCUCUUUGCCUUCUGGCAAUGGCUUGAAAAUGAUUGUGUUUGCACCAGCUAUAUGGCUCGGUUCUUAACAAGUGCAACAGAUGUUUACAUUUCGUUUUCUCUUGGAAAGGAUCGGUGUUGGAUACUGGUAGUUCACUCAAAACCAUAACUUUCGGUGAUCCCCGGAUCAUUGACUGAUAACUUGGUCUGAAAUCGAGCAAGAAAACCCGCUGAACUUAAGCAUAUCAAUAAGCGGAGGAAAAGAAACUAACAAGGAUUCCCCUAGUAACGGCGAGUGAAGCGGGAACAGCUCAAAUUUGAAAUCUCACAAGGUCACUUGUGCGAAUUGUAGUUUAGAGAAACGUUUUCGGGGGCGACGUGGGUAUAAGUCCUUUGGAAAGAGGCAUCAUAGAGGGUGAGAAUCCCGUUUAUGAUCCACUGCUCGCUCCUAUGUGAUACGUUUUCCAAGAGUCAGGUAGUUUGGGAUUGCUGCCUAAAAUGGGUGGUAAAUACCAUCUAAAGCUAAAUAUUGGCGGGAGACCGAUAGCGAACAAGUACCGUGAGGGAAAGAUGAAAAGAACUUUGAAAAGAGAGUUAAACAGUACGUGAAAUUGCCAAAAGGGAAACGCUUGGAACCAGUAUUGCUUUCAAGUAAUCAACUUCACGUCCCGCAAGGGUCGCGUGGGGUGCACUUGCUUGCAAGCGAGCCAACAUCAGUUUGGUUUGGGGUAAAAAGCCAGUGGAAGGUAGCUCGAACUUCGGUUUGAGUGUUAUAGCCGCCGGUCAUGCCUUGGGCCAGACUGAGGUCUGCAGCGUUAUUUGGAUUCCCGGUUGCCUCUUGAGGCCAACCCUAGACAGCACGCUGACUAGGGUGACGUUUAGAGAGCUCAGCCGGUUCAUCACACCUACGCUUAGGAUGUUGGCGAAAUGGUUCCAAACGACCCGUCUUGAAACACGGACCAAGGAGUCUAACAUAUAUGCGAGUAUUUGGGUGGCAAACCCUCAUGCGCAAUGAAAGUGAACUUAGGUGGGAUCUUCGGUGCACCAUCGACCGGUCUGGAUUUUUUUUGAUAGAUCUGAGUAAGAGCAUACAUGUUGGGACCCGAAAGAUGGUGAACUAUGCCUGAAUAGGGUGAAGCCAGAGGAAACUCUGGUGGAGGCUCGUAGCGAUUCUGACGUGCAAAUCGAUCGUCAAAUUUGGGUAUAGGGGCGAAAGACUAAUCGAACCAUCUAGUAGCUGGUUCCCUC